CCCGAUUACGGGUAAACAUUCACGGAGAGUUUGAUCCUGGCUCAGGACGAACGCUGGCGGCGUGCUUAACACAUGCAAGUCGAACGAUGAAGCCCUUCGGGGUGGAUUAGUGGCGAACGGGUGAGUAACACGUGGGCAAUCUGCCCUUCACUCUGGGACAAGCCCUGGAAACGGGGUCUAAUACCGGAUAACACCGGCUUCCGCAUGGGGGCUGGUUGAAAGCUCCGGCGGUGAAGGAUGAGCCCGCGGCCUAUCAGCUUUGUUGGUGGGGUAAUGGCCUACCAAGG
Molecule: ribosomal RNA, 287 nt
Filed under: Streptomyces venezuelae ATCC 10712
Lineage: Bacteria; Bacillati; Actinomycetota; Actinomycetes; Kitasatosporales; Streptomycetaceae
Description: 16S ribosomal RNA
Rfam family: Bacterial small subunit ribosomal RNA
Source: RNAcentral